CGCACUUCAAAUCAUCUCUUUUAUUUGAAAUGAAAAAGGACAAAAGUCAAGUAAGAUAUCAACUCCGAAAUAUUGCUCUUGUACUAACUAAUGCUUCUAUCAGUAGAUAAAUAUUUUUAUUUUUUUUUUAAUAUCUUCAUGUCUUGUUCCGUAACAUGUGCAUCGGAAGGACGUUGAAGUGAUUGAUGUAAGUGUCCUUUUCGGAUAAGAACUUACUCCUCCAUAAAGAAAGCCUACUUGGCAGAUUCAAUAAGGGGUUUAGGCGAAUUCAAACCUGAAAUCUUAAAAAAAAAAAAAAAAAAAAAAAAUUAAACAAAACUUUUUAUAUCUAAAAAAUACACAAAAAAAUAUUAUUAGUCAUAAUAAUUACAAUUCAAAAAAGUACGUUAGUAAAUUUAGAACAAAGAGCACAUUCUUUAAUUAUCCAAAUAGUAAUUAAAACGAAAGAGUACGAUAAUCUAGCCAGCAUCGGUGAUAGUCUUUCACACAUAUAAUAAGUAAAACUUCCACUCUUUUUUCUUCUUCUCAAUAUUUCAAUAUCGUGGAAUAUUUUUUAAUCAAAAAUGUUUGCCGACGCAAGGCACACAAGAAUUGACAAGUAAAAGAACCAAGGGACCAUAGGAGAACAUCUGCUGGAUUCAACUCUAUAUAACAUGAGUUCAACAGGUUCACAACUCAUCAACCCAACUGCAGUUAAUACGUAUAAUUAUGGAUGUAAAAUACUUUGAAAUGGUUAAUUUAUUUAUAUAAUGAGUAUUGUUUGAUAAUAUGCAUAAAUUUUUAUUCAAAUUUGAACCGUAACUAUCUAAUAUAACCAUUUUAUAAUACGUUCAAAUGUCCAAUCAAAACAUACAGUAGUUCGAAUAUCCCCCAAAAUUCUAAGGGCUUUCCUACACAUGCAUGUUUCUGCAGCUGAAACAUCGAGGACAAUGACAUAUUCUCUCCCUAAUUAAUUCAGAGAAAAGAGAUAAGUCUGACCAGUACAACUGUGUCUUAUCCACUUGAUAAGUAGCUGUUGUGCUCAGUAUUUUCAGCUGUCUUGCAUUUAUAUAACUUUGGCUCUAUUUGAGAAGCAUCAUGGUCUAUCAAACUUUAGAUCUGGGUGUGCAACGGUCGGUUCGGUUUGAUUUUAUAUAUUAUCGAUUUGAUUUAUCAAUUUUUUAUUUUUAAAUAUGCUAAACCAAUAAUCAAACCUAUAAGAUAUUUUUUAUCGAUUUUUGAUUUAUAGCGAUUCGAUUUUCGAUUUAACCGAUAAGAAAAUACUAAUAAAAUAGAAAUAGUAGUAACUAACAUGAAAAAAAAAAUCUUAGUUGCAUUUAAAAGAAUCUUUAAGUUUGAACUAAAUGUUGUUAGGGGAAAUUAAGAGUUCUAUAAUUGAAAUAAUAAUUUUAUUAAUUUAUAAAAAUCAAAGAGAAAUAUAUCAUAAGUUAUCUCUCUCUCUCUCUCUAUAUAUAUAUAUGUAUGUAUGUAUGCAUACCAAUAAAAUAGGCGAAUAAAAAGGCGAUAAACUAGGCGAUAUUUCAAGAUUUUUGUAAAAAUCCCACUCAGUACUCCCUCUUUUUCAUUAUUUUUUCACGUUUUUAUCAUUCUUAUAUUCUAUAUUUUCCCCUAUUUUAAAUUUUUUUUUAUAUUAACCGGUUCAUCUCUUUCUCUUAACCUAUGUUCCUAACAACUUACUUCUUUAACCACACCCCGGAACUUUCAUCUGGCAACUAACACUCGUCCUUCGUCUAUUCUGCAGCCAUAGCGGACUAUCAAGGCCAGAAUUCCUAGGAAUUUACAGGUUAAUCCAUCGUUGUUAUUAAGAAAUUAAGAGGUUAGCCAUAUAUUAAGGGUAAUGAAUUUAAACAAAUAUUUAAUUUACAGGAUGUUCUGCGAAUAUAUCUAAAAAUUUCUAAAAAAUAUAAACAUCUAAAAAAAAAUAAGACAUAAAAACAUAUCUUUGAUUGGAAAAUAUAAAAUAAAUAAGAACUUACAUGAAGUAAUUGGGAUAGAGGUUUCCCUUUCGGGAAUCCCCUAAAGACUUUGGAAAACUGAAAGCUUU
Molecule: long non-coding RNA, 2044 nt
Filed under: Capsicum annuum
Lineage: Eukaryota; Viridiplantae; Streptophyta; Magnoliopsida; Solanales; Solanaceae
Description: long non-coding RNA (CANN_LNC007141)
Source: RNAcentral